Long non-coding RNA from Ictalurus furcatus (blue catfish), 2586 nucleotides. RefSeq lists it as uncharacterized. NCBI's taxonomy places the organism in Eukaryota, Metazoa, Chordata, Actinopteri, Siluriformes, Ictaluridae. The record is from RefSeq and is a predicted model, not a curated record. The transcript is spliced from 3 exons.
GGUCGAUUAAUUGCUUAACUCCAUUCAUUAGAAACAAUAUGAAACAAUAUAAAAUUUUGUUUAAUAAUGGACUCAGUUUGUGUUAAAUAACUUCUGUAUUUUAGGAAAGUUUUAUACCCAUAAAUGCAAGUGCCUUAAAUCUAAACCAUUGUUUACAUGUGUUUCAAAAAUAAUAAUAAUAAUUUUUUUUUUUUUUUUUUUUUUAUAAAUCUCUGAAACAUGUUAAAACAAAAAUGGCCAAAAGACUCUUUAAUUGGUCCAGGAUCUUAAUUUAAUAGAAGAACCUGCAUCAUGAUUUUUCAAAAUUGUUUAUUUAUUUAAAUUUAUUUACAUUUAUUUUAUUUGUCUAUUUUUACCAUUUAAUUUUGUUAUACUGUGCAUGUGCUCUAUUUUCUAAAAACCUUUGUUAACAUGUACUGCCUUAUUGUGUUGUUUUUAUUGAAUUACAAUCAAUAAAUCAAUCAAUCAAUCAAUGGAUACAUAAAUUGUAGUUUUUUUCGAGCUGAGAGGCUCCAGAAAACAUGACGUCAUUUCCAGUAAGGGAAUAUAGUGAGCAUCGAUACUCCCUGGUUUUUGCAGUGUAUUGUGGGAUUUUUUAGGGAGCGAAUGUUCCAGUGCACUGGAAGAAUUUUGCGAUUGAGACAGACCUUAAAAUGGCCGACUCCCUGAUCAGUGUCCUGAACUACUGAACUAGGGAGCUGGUUGAGAAAAAGAGUGAAGAGGAUGAAUUGAAAGCUUCCCGUCGUCAUCAAUAACCUCAUUACAGGAAACCAACACACGCAUGUUUACGGAAGUUGAUGUGAAAGAGCGCUUCCUUCUCCGCACGCGCUUCGGAUCUCUGAUACUCUGCGUAACAUCACUAAAGUGUCCUGAUUCUUUACACCUUUUAUAAUGAAAUCAGAGUCUAGACGCCUCUCUUUAGGAAAAUCUCCACAGACUCCUGCUGCUACUGGCUCAAAGAUGUACCACUGCUCAGAUUGUGGGAAGAGUUUUACUAAAAGUCGUCAUCAUCUCAAAAAUCACGAGCAUGUUCACAUAGGAGAGAAGCCGUAUGAUUGCUCCCAGUGUGGGAAGUUUUACUUGUCAGAGUAAUCUCCGACAACAUGAGCGCAUUCACACAGGUGUAAGGCCGUAUCUCUGUGGACAGUGUGGAAAGGGUUUUAUUUACCAGAGUUAUCUUCAACGACACCAGUGCAUUCACACAGAAGAGAAGUAUCACUGUGGACAGUGCAGGAAGAGUUUUACUUGUCAGAGUAAUCUCCAACGACACGAGCGCAUUCACACAGGACAGAAGCCGUAUCACUGUGGACAGUGUGGGAAGAGUUUUAGACAAGAGAUUCAUCUUCGGAUAUACCAGCGCAUUCACACAGGACAGAUGCCGUACCUCUGCGGACAAUGUGGGCGGAGCUAUACUCAUUCAAGUUCCUUAAGGACACACAAGUGCUCUGACAUAAAGCCACCAGCUCUUGAUAUGUGAAUUUCUUAAAUUUAGAUACAUCUUUUUAAUUUUCCUCUUUUUUUGCGGGAGGUUAAGGGAAAUUCUGGCAUAAAACCUCUCUUGCAAGGGACUUUAUUGCUUACUGUCCACUUUGUAGUAGAAUUCAUGUCAUUUUCCUGGUUUCACCUGAAUGCUAUACACCAAGAAUGCAAUACAACAAUACAUAUUUAACCAAUGGCUAUCCCUACUUUAAUUGACCAAAGAUUUUAAAAAAUUUUUUUAAUGCAAGCUAGAAUUUUGUUUCUUAAAUGUCACGUUGUGCAUACUAUCGAACUGGACACCUUUCCAAGCCAAAAGAAGAUGGAUGUGUUUACAGGCAAUUUGAAGAGAUAAUUCCCAGUUGCUCUGGAUUUGCAACGUUGGUUUAACUACAGCUAACUACCCUGUCUGGCCAAAAGUAUGGGGAUGCCUGACCACCACACCCAUAUAUGUCUUUUGAACAUCCUCUGAUGGAACUGCAUCCAAUCCAUGGUCCCUUGAGCCCAGUUUUCCUGAUAAAGUUUUUAGAUUUACUGCAACCCUGACCAGGAGAACACAGUUACACUGUAAGAUCAAUGAAUGGAUUUUUCUAGUAAGAUGAGGUUUGUAUGACCUGCAAGUCUUAGAAUUUUAUGCAGGGUCACUAUCACAAUUGUGGAUAUACAGUGAAUGGAGCAUUGAGAGAGUACAUUACCAGGGGUCUGGGUUUGAUGACCCCUUCACUUUGAUAAAACACAUAUUUUAUCAUUUAUAAAGUGUAUACUUUUUUUUAUUAAUGAACAAAAAUUCUCCAUAGUGCAAAUCAUAAACAGGUUUUCUCAUAGUUGUGUAAUAUCUUUUAAAAAAUCUGAUAUUAUGUGUAUAAAUCUUCAGAUGGUUUUCUUUGACACUCACGGGUAAGCUCAUGCAUAUUAAUCAUACUUCAUCAAACUUGAUUCAAGUUUACCUGUGGAAUUUUUAAUGAGAGUCAAAUUACAUUACUACCACUUUAAUCAUCAAUAGAUCUGUAAUGAUGCUAUUAGAUGGUGGGCAAAGGUCCACCACAGGUGCUCUAGUAUUACAGGUUAAAUAUUUCAGAUAUCACAGAAUAAAUCUGACACACUUCCUCA